Molecule: transfer RNA, 77 nt
Filed under: Oscillospiraceae bacterium
Lineage: Bacteria; Bacillati; Bacillota; Clostridia; Eubacteriales; Oscillospiraceae
Description: tRNA-Arg
Rfam family: tRNA
About the family: Transfer RNA (tRNA) molecules are approximately 80 nucleotides in length. Their secondary structure includes four short double-helical elements and three loops (D, anti-codon, and T loops). Further hydrogen bonds mediate the characteristic L-shaped molecular structure. tRNAs have two regions of fundamental functional importance: the anti-codon, which is responsible for specific mRNA codon recognition, and the 3' end, to which the tRNAs corresponding amino acid is attached (by aminoacyl-tRNA synthetases). tRNAs cope with the degeneracy of the genetic code in two manners: having more than one tRNA (with a specific anti-codon) for a particular amino acid; and 'wobble' base-pairing, i.e. permitting non-standard base-pairing at the 3rd anti-codon position.
Source: RNAcentral
GCGCUGGUAGCUCAGUUGGAUAGAGUGUUUGGCUACGAACCAAAAGGUCGGGGGUUCGAAUCCCUUCCAGCGCACCA